CGAAAUCGGUAGACGCUACGGACUUAAAAUCCGUCGACUUUAGAAAUCGUGAGGGUUCAAGUCCCUCUAUCCCC
This 74-nucleotide transfer RNA is filed under the name Arum maculatum (cuckoopint). RNAcentral describes it as "partial tRNA-Leu". It matches the Rfam family "tRNA", at positions 11 to 70 of the family's 71-position model. Rfam says of the family: Transfer RNA (tRNA) molecules are approximately 80 nucleotides in length. Their secondary structure includes four short double-helical elements and three loops (D, anti-codon, and T loops). Lineage: Eukaryota; Viridiplantae; Streptophyta; Magnoliopsida; Alismatales; Araceae. The record is from RNAcentral. RNAcentral also lists the same sequence under 19 other names.